GAUGAACGCUGGCGGCGUGCCUAAUACAUGCAAGUCGAGCGAAUGGAUUAAGAGCUUGCUCUUAUGAAGUUAGCGGCGGACGGGUGAGUAACACGUGGGUAACCUGCCCAUAAGACUGGGAUAACUCCGGAAAACAGGGGCUAAUACCGGAUAACAUUUUGAACCGCAUGGUUCGAAAUUGAAAGGCGGCUUCGGCUGUCACUUAUGGAUGGACCUGCGUCGCAUUAGCUAGUUGGUGAGGUAACGGCUCACCAAGGCAACGAUGCGUAGCCGACCUGAGAGGGUGAUCGGCCACACUGGGACUGAGACACGGCCCAGACUCCUACGGGAGGCAGCAGUAGGGAAUCUUCCGCAAUGGGCGAAAGUCUGACGGAGCAACGCCGCGUGAGUGAUGAAGGCUUUCGGGUCGUAAAACUCUGUUGUUAGGGAAGAACAAGUGCUAGUUGAAUAAGCUGGCACCUUGACGGUACCUAACCAGAAAGCCACGGCUAACUACGUGCCAGCAGCCGCGGUAA
RNAcentral lists this ribosomal RNA (515 nucleotides) under uncultured bacterium. RNAcentral's name for it is "partial 16S ribosomal RNA". It matches the Rfam family "Bacterial small subunit ribosomal RNA", at positions 28 to 523 of the family's 1533-position model. The record is from RNAcentral.